GAGUUCGUCGGAGAUAUUAUCACACUGUCAAGCUAACAUUAUUGGUGUAGUGAUUUCAAGUACUUUGAGCCUAUGGCAUGUAUAGGAGUUUAAAUAUUAGAGUAUGUGAUAUGGCUUUAGCCAUAUGUGUUGGCCUAUUUUGAUUAUGGGGUUGUAAAUCCAUUUUAAUUAUGCAUGCAUGUGCUAUGGUAUUAUGUGAUGAGUUUAUAAUGAUUAUAGCAUGAAUGUGGUAAAGAUGUGAGUAAAAUCUAUGAUAUCUAUUGCAUGUGAAAUUGCCAUAAUCAUGACAUGUUAGGAAUG
Molecule: long non-coding RNA, 300 nt
Filed under: Gossypium barbadense (sea-island cotton)
Lineage: Eukaryota; Viridiplantae; Streptophyta; Magnoliopsida; Malvales; Malvaceae
Description: long non-coding RNA (GBAR_LNC005534)
Source: RNAcentral